AGUGAACGCUGGCGGCGUGCUUAACACAUGCAAGUCGAACGGAGAAAGAGAGGUUCGCCUUUCUUUCUUAGUGGCACACGGGUGAGUAAUGUAUAGCUAACCUGCCCCUUGGUGGGGGACGAACAGAUGGGAACGUCUGCUAAUACCCAUACUCCUUCUUACUCUAAGGUAAGUCGUGAAGCUCCGGUGCCAAGGGAUGGGCGUGUAUCCUAUCAGCCUGUUGGUGAGGCAAUGGCUCACCAAGGCAAAUGACGGGUAGCUGGUCUGAGAGGAUGAUCAGCCACACUGGAACUGAGACACGGUCCAGACUCCUACGGGAGGCAGCAUG
RNAcentral lists this ribosomal RNA (328 nucleotides) under uncultured bacterium. RNAcentral describes it as "bacterial SSU rRNA". It matches the Rfam family "Bacterial small subunit ribosomal RNA", at positions 29 to 355 of the family's 1533-position model. The record is from RNAcentral.